AUAUUACGUUCGAAAUUGGAAUGACCAAUUCAACAGGGAAUUGCUUAAUUUAUGAGACAAUAAAUAUCAUUGAUGGGAUUCAUUUUUAAGCAUUCUUGACCCCCUUUAAAACUUUUCCGACCAAAUCGAUAUUUGAAAAUGCAAGAUAUAUUUGAAAAGUUUUCGUUUGUUCCAUUCGUAAUGUUACACUCAGACAGUGUGGAAUGUAAUUGAGCUCUUGAAAUAUUUGACCUUUUUUGAAACGAUAGACAAACAAUUAUUCGUAGAAUAAAUCGUUCGAGAUAGCUAUUUAUUGUUGAAAUAUUUUGACCACCUUCAUUUGAUAACAUUUCGCUCUCCUUAAUAUUGUGUUUUAACGACCCCAAAAGCUAUUUGGUAAAUGAAUUCUUGGAACUACUCGAUGCGUUGGUUUCGCCGGAAAUAAUAUUGUGUACACUUCAGCAUUUACGUAGAGUGAAAUUGAAUUUAUGAUGCAAAAUUGUGUUAAAUUGAGAAUUCAAAAUUGCCAUACUUCCGCAUAUCAUUUUCGCAAAAAAGAAAACAACAUUUGUCCAAAAGUAAAUAGCGAACAAGAUUUAGCGUAUGUGAGGGUAUUUUUUUUUCGGGUAAAUAUUGUCCUCUGUGUUAGUGUUCUGUCACCUGCAGCUCUGCUGUGCACGCGGUAAGGAUGUUUUUUUCUCGCCAACAGUUUUUGGGCGAUAUCGUUGGAGAGAAAGCUCUCUCCACAGUCCCGUUUAAGGUUAACCGUAUUAUCCUACCAGUUAUGACGCAAACCAGGGAGCUGUAGGAAUGAAUGACAGAUAGUAAACUCCACCGCACCGUAUUGCGAACAGCUGAAUUGUCAAAGUUGUCCCUCAAGCUACAUCCGUACAGAGUGUGUAUGUGUGUGUUGUGAGAAAAUGGAGCUUUCAGCAACUCCCGGUAUCUGCGCAGACACUCUCGUGAGUUUGUGUGUGAGCUCUCAGCUUGUGUUGUUGUACGGGUUUGUGAUGUGCUGCCACCUAGUGGCCGGUACUGCAACUCUCCUCAUCCUUUCGAGCGCUAUCUCUGUCAUACGUGGAGCUGCCUUUUGCGAAAGCGAUUUUAUUCACCAGCAAAGAUCUUGCCUAUCGUGUCUCUCUCUCUUUCUCCAAAUUUUGAACACCAAUACAAUGGAAACGUAUCCUUCGCCAGUCAAAAAGCAGCAUGUCCGCAACGUGUGCGGCUGUGUGGUGGUAACGUCACGGAAAAACUUUCAAAUCCAACCCCGUGCGUAGAGCAGAAGUAGCAGCAAAAGCCAGUCUCUCAGCGACACAGUCUCGGGGCAGUUGUCAAUAUCGGAACAGGGGGCCUGAAAAGAAAAGCCUUCCCAGUCAGCCGCAAAAAAAAACGCAUACCCUGCCACAAACGGUGAAGUCCGGGCCGUGACAAGUUCUGUACCAUCUCCAUCGAUCAAGUCUGUGCAGUUAAAAUUACGCCCGAUCGCACGUAUCAUUUGCAAUCGCUCAAUCCGACACCAAUGUUUGAUGCUUUGAAAGAAAGCAUUAGGAAAAACAUCUACACGAAGUGUGAUCCCGGUUCUCCCGUUUCCUGCACGCUGUUUCCAGUGGUGAUAACGCAGUGGAAGGAUAUUUUCUGCCUGGUGGUCUUAUCAAUAUCCGGCCCAUUUUCUGUGCGUGUCUGUCUUACAUCGUUUUAAACCGCAAGAUAAAAGAUAUCAAAGUGCUCUCACUGCUGGAAUUACGACUAGCGUGAGAUAGUUGUGCUGCUGCGUGCUGCCGUGUCACUAUUCGAAGUUGAAGUUCAGUGUAGACUAAUUAAACAGUGCGUGUUUGUGCUUUGGUACCAACAGAAAAAGAAACGACCGCGCUGUGGAAGAAGCAAAUCAAAAGUUGCUUCCAAAGUGUAACGUGAAUAAAUCGCAGUGCGGUUGUGAAAGCGUUAAUUAAAUUGUUGCACUGUGAGUGGCCAGUGUUUUGUGUGUAACAGGUUUUCUUUUGCGAUUAGGUGCUACAUUUCGGCAGGUAAAAAGCGUUUGCAAAAUGGCCUGGGGAUACUGGAGCGCAACGGCGGUCGAUCGUGGUCGAUCACCGCGGCGUAACACACAGCUUCCGCAGGCCCAGUAUCAUGCCCAGGGUUACCAGCAGCCAGUACAGCAGCAGCAGCAGCAGCAGCAGUACAGCUUGGCGUCGAGCCAAGCGCAGCAACCGUCGAUGCAUUGCAGUGCCCUUUCGCUCAAUACCUGCCCGCAGGCGGUCGAGCUACCGUCGAUCCAGCAGCAGCAGCAGCUCAUCUGCAGCAACGGUUCACAGCCGCAGCUGCACCAGCAGCAACAGCAACAGCAGCAAAUCUGUUCGAGCCCGUGCCACAGUCCCUGUCACAGUCCGCAGUUUAUCGAGCAGUUGCCACCGGAGCUGCCCUGCACACCCUGUACCUUCUCGCGUAGACAGUCACUUGAUAGUCCACAGGUAGAUCGAUGCCAAUCGCUAGCACUGCUGGGGCGUGCCGAGGCGAACCAGCUUUCGGAUAUCAUCUGUCGGGCGACGCAACCUUCGAUCCAGUCGGCAGGUAACACCUUGACGCGCGGCACAUCGUUACGUGAUACUGGCGACUACGCGGUACCUCAUCCACAUCCGCACACGCACCAUUACAUGUCCACGUCGGCGACACCACCGUCGUUGAGUAGGGUCGGAUCCUGUCCGGGCUCGACCGGUGGUUCCGGUUCGGGCCAUGGGUCCGGCUCGGGUUCCAGCCCAGGCGGUGGCCCCGGGAGUGGUGGUGGAGGUAGUGGAAGUGUUGGUGGUGGUGGCGUCGGCAGUGGGGUGGGGAUUUGCGGUGGAAGCAUACUGGGUGGUAGCCAGGGUCGGUUGGAGUACAUCGAAUGUUCGCACUACGAUCGGAUGCCGUUGCCAAUACCGGUACAGAUACCCAUCGUUCCACCACCGCAACUACAUUCGGAGGAUGAAAUCGAACCGGCGUAUGCUACAGUAUUUCCAAAUGUGCCGUCUGCUCCGGGAUUGUCCUGUGUCGGUGAAGACCGUAGCAUCUACCGAAGAGGAGCAAGAAGAUGGCGUAAGCUGUACCGGAUAAAUGGACACAUCUUCCAAGCGAAGCGAUUCAAUCGAAAAGCCUUCUGCGCCUUUUGCCAUGACCGUAUCUGGGGUCUGGGUCGGCAGGGAUUCAAGUGCAUUCAGUGCAAGCUGCUGGUGCACAAAAAGUGCCACAAGCUUGGCAAUAAACCGUGCAGCAACGAGCAUGUCGAACCAGUCUACAAGGAGCGAGAUCACCAUGAUCCAAACGAUGAAUCCAGUACCGGUGUCGUCAUGCAGGCCUCGUUGGAUUAUCCGUCCGAGCUGCAUUCGAGUGAUGGAUGCGAUCAGGUACCGGUCGAGGUGAACGACAACGUCGAGGAACCGCUGGAACCAGUCACCCAGCGGCAAUACUCGUUGAAUGAUUUCGAAUUGAUCCGAGUCAUUGGUCGCGGCAGCUACGCAAAGGUGUUGAUGGUGGAGUUGAAGAAAACCCGUCGCAUCUACGCGAUGAAGGUAAUCAAGAAGGCGCUCGUUACCGACGACGAAGAUAUCGACUGGGUGCAGACGGAAAAACAUGUCUUCGAGACGGCUUCGAACCAUCCAUUUCUGGUUGGUUUACAUUCGUGCUUCCAGACGCCAUCGCGGCUGUUCUUCGUGAUUGAGUUUGUGCGUGGUGGAGAUCUGAUGUUUCACAUGCAGCGACAGCGCCGCCUACCGGAGGAACAUGCACGGUUCUAUGCGGCCGAAAUUAGUCUUGCGCUAAACUUCCUGCACGAGAAGGGUAUCAUCUAUCGCGAUCUAAAGCUGGACAAUGUGUUGCUUGACCACGAGGGUCACAUCAAGCUGACCGAUUAUGGCAUGUGCAAGGAGGGUAUAAGACCCGGUGACACUACAUCCACGUUCUGCGGUACACCCAACUACAUUGCGCCAGAAAUCUUACGUGGAGAGGACUACGGUUUCUCCGUCGAUUGGUGGGCACUGGGAGUGUUAUUGUACGAAAUGUUGGCAGGACGUAGUCCGUUUGACAUUGCUGGUGCUUCCGAGAAUCCGGAUCAGAACACCGAAGACUACUUGUUCCAGGUGAUUCUGGAGAAGACGAUUCGUAUACCGCGUUCGCUAAGCGUGAAGGCUGCCUCCGUGCUGAAAGGAUUCCUGAACAAAAACCCGGCCGAUCGUUUGGGUUGCAAUCGUGACUCCGCGUUCUUGGACAUAAUGAAUCAUUCGUUCUUCAAGAGCAUUGACUGGGAGAUGCUUGCACAAAAGGAAGUGACGCCACCGUACAUCCCUUCGUUUGAUGGGUGCGAUCAGGAUAUAACCUGUCACUUCGAUCCGCAGUUCACGCGUGAACCGGCCGAGCUGACACCGGACGAUCCUCGCGUCAUCGAUAAAAUCGAUCAAUCGGAGUUCGAAGGAUUCGAGUAUGUGAACCCGUUGCUGAUGUCGCUGGAAGACUGCGUUUGACAUCACGCAUCCUGCGAGCUGCAUCCGUACAACAUGCAGUUUUGAGUGCAGAGAAAGUCAGAAUCUUUUCGGUACAAUAGUGCAGAACGGAAUCUGUUGAAGCGGAACUACGCCCGUACUGUUAGGUUCAGGAACAACGAAUGUAAAUCGAAUGGAAAAUGUAAAGAUUUUGAGCGCAAUAAGUUCGAAAUCAAACAAACUUGUACACGUGAUAUGAACGGCAGACAAAAUCAACAAACAUGACCUCAUUUGUUGUUAUUACAAAAAAAAAAGCACAAAAAAGGGGGCUAUGUUUUUGGUUUGCAAUGUUAAGAACAAAGUUUUAAGUACAAAACACGGUAUUAAAAUUGCUGCUUUCCGUUUGAACUGACUGACAAACAUAACUACUGUACUGCGACUAUACGGUGACGAUUCGAGCGAUUACGAUUCCGUUGUGGAUGAGCUAAGCAUUCUUCAAUUACCUCCACCACCAUCGAAGAGUUUACUGCAGCACAUGUUUUGCCUUCCAUUGAACUAGCCACAAGUUUAGCCGCAGCCAUCUGCAAACUAACCGAGUGAGAACGAAGACCGUACAGCGAUAACAGAAAUGACAUUAAUUGGCCACUGCAACUGCUACCCGUCGACAGCAAGAUCUAAUGCGGCGGCCAACACAUUCCCGGCACUGUGUCCAGAUGUAUUGAUUUGUUCUUAAUAUAAAUAUUGCUUUGUUUUUUUGUUUGUUACGAAAACUGCGAUGAAAGAUUAAAUUGGUUGAUUGAAAUUGAAAACUUUACAGCGCUUUUGUGGGAAAUUUGAUCUUCUCUAUUCUGGUAGAAUUAAAAACGAGAGAGAGAUGGCAGUGAUCAAAAGUUUGCGCAGCUAGUAAGUAGGGUUUUGUACAUGGUACACUAAAACAGGCAGAAUAUAUUACGCAUUAAAACGCAUCAUAUAUACCGGCAAUGCAAUGUAGCUAAGCAAUGAUGGAUAAUCAAACUGCCGCCGGUUCGAUGACGCUUAAAGGAAGUGUGACGCAUCGCUUCCUAGUUUAUUUCUCUCUCUUUUUACAGUCCAUUUCUUUCUUCAACCUAUGUAAAACACAUUCCUGUAAGCAGCAGUUGUUUGCAGCAGAUUUUUGUAAACACAUUUUCAUUUUAUAUUACGUUUGAAAUAUCCUUCUAGAAAACCGGAAAGCAUAGAGGCGAAAAUACGAGCAAACAAUUACCGACAAGUAUGAUGAAGAUCCGUGACAACAGACUAUUUACUUUGCGAGCCGAACGAAAGUGGGACAGUAAGAAGAAAAAAAAACUUUAAUCUAGAAUAUAUGGUACUAGACAUAUUUAACAAGAACUUAUCAUAAAACGUAAAAGAGAGUUUCAAACAACAAAAAAUGAAAAAUCAAACAGGCCCUACAUUAUUGCAUUGAAAAACAAAAACAAAACAAACCGAGUAAAAAAAACUCACACAUCCAAAUGGAAAUAUGUAGAAAUUGCUGAAAAUACUUUUUAGAACACAAGAUAAACGAUUGCAAACAAUUUAAACAUUUUGCCGCUACUAAACAAAAAACGACAAUGGGCGAACGAUGAGCGUUAAGGAAAAAAAUUCCACGCGUAACGUUUUGUGUUUUUUCUUCUUCUUUUCGUUUUUCUUCCACGGGUGCAAAAAUCAGCAUUUGAAAGCAAAAACGUUUUGAGCAUUACUUAUAUAAAGCAAGACUAGUUAAAUAACAAAUCAGAGAAAAAAGCAUGUUACAAAACAAAGAAACAAGUUACACACAAUUUGCACAGUAUCGUUAACAAAAGUAGUAGAAAAGGAUGGUAACCAAAACAAACAAACAGCAGCUGAUCGUUCGGCAAAUGUUGAUGAUAAAUGGGCGUGAUAAGUGAAUGGCAAGCUUAUGCAAAACAACCAAUAGAUUGAAAAAUCAAAACUGAACGAAUGCACACGCUAUUGCCUACUCAAGGGAUAUGUUGGAUAGUGGUGAAGAGACGGGAAGUGUUUAGGUAACAAAUUUAUUAUUAAGAAUUAUUACAAAAAAAAAGGUGAAGCGAACAACAGAAGAUAGAAUUGAUAGGCAGAAAAUUAGCUCGCAGUAAAUUUAUGUUUCAAAGCGAAUUAAAAGGCGCGCCGUUUGAAGGACUAUGGGAAUUUUAAACAAUUUAGAAAGAAACAGUAAGAACGAGUGCGCGCGCCUAUAGCAUAUUGAUUGAAAAGAAGCGGUGGUAACUAAAUUUAAAAAGAAAAGUGGAACGAAUGAAGUAAUGUUUGCAUCGGCGAGCACAGUCCCCCUCCUCAGUACGUAGUUGACAGUUUUGUACAUGAGUUCAGGAAGUACGAUAGCAAACAAUUAUGAAUGAAUACUUAAAUGCAAAACCAAAAUUCGUAGAAACGCACUUGGUAAAAGAAAAACACAAAACAAACAAAAUCACUGAUUAUGGUAAGGUGAACAGAAAAGGAGGGAGAAAAAAAAACAAAUUAAAACAAAAAGAAAAAAAAAGAUGCGUCUUGGAGGAAGUUGCUAAAUUGUUGAGGGAUGUUUCAAGUAAUUUUUGCGCGAAGGUGUUGUGUGUUUGUUUCAUUUUCCUACCAUUUGUGUUACAUUUGUGCGCUUCGCGGAUCGCGAUUAAAUCACUUAAAAUCGGCUAAAAUCGGGAGAGAGAAAACGAAAACAUGAAGUCGUGCGCGAAACUAUUGUUCUUUAAAUGUACCUUAAUGUUCGUAAAAUGAGCCUAUUUAUCGUAAAUUGUUUUAACAAACAAAAAAAUGCAUACAAAAAGAAAAACAAACAAACCAACAUUCACACACACACGGAAAGUUUGCACACAACCAAACUGGGAAUAUUUUGAUAAUUGUUGUUGGUGAUAGUACGAUUUUUGAGUCGAUAUUUUUCUCUGUGUAAGUUCAAUGGUAAAAUGUGUUGCAAAUCGAAUUUUGCAUAUUAAGAGGAUUGAAUGGAACGGAAAAAAGUGGAUCAGAACAGAAAAAAAAACAUUUGCAACCGUCAAAGGAAAAUGGUGAAGCCUUUACUUAGGGAGGAAAAACAAAGAAAAACCACAGAUAAUAGACAUAUUCUAUCAUGAUUGAUUUUUGGGAGCUACAAAGCGUUUAAGGGAAGUUUUACGUUUUAUAACUUACGUUUACUUAUUUUGCAUUUUUUGUUCUACCACGUCCAUGUUGGUACAUAUGUUGUACUUAUGCGUAUAAUGAUCCCCAGAUGUAUUUCUUUUUUUUUUUAUAAGAAUAGAUUUCCAACUGACAUUCUUUCCAUUUCCAUUUCCUAUUCAGCAUUUCAAAGUUUAGUCUUAAAAGUAACUUUAUUAGCAUUAUGUAAAACACACACACAUACACACACACACUGAUCAGUAUGAAUAAUGUUUAGUUUUUUUUGCUUUUGCGCACUUAGGUAAAUAGUUUUUUUUGUUUCAUUUUUAUUUUCCAUUUCUUCGAUCCAUCCGUCACCCUGCCUCUCAGCCUCUCACCCUGAAAGAGAUUGUUUCUUCCUAGUUCGUUCGAAAACAAAAAAAAAAACAAAAAAAUCACAAAAUACAAACAAAUACGAUUAACUUAUAACUGACACUAACCAGUAUCGUAUGGGUCUGACACCUUCAAAACAGAAAACCGGAUCGCUGAAAUUGAAACUAUUUCAAAUAAAAAAUAUUAAAAUCAAA
RNA transcript from Anopheles funestus (African malaria mosquito), 8116 nucleotides. It is a transcript of the gene named atypical protein kinase C, with no coding region annotated. The transcript has 15 exons. The record is from RefSeq and is a predicted model, not a curated record. Lineage: Eukaryota; Metazoa; Arthropoda; Insecta; Diptera; Culicidae.